Molecule: ribosomal RNA, 403 nt
Filed under: Verrucomicrobiota bacterium
Lineage: Bacteria; Pseudomonadati; Verrucomicrobiota
Description: Verrucomicrobia bacterium partial 16S ribosomal RNA
Rfam family: Bacterial small subunit ribosomal RNA
Source: RNAcentral
UGGGGAAUAUUGCACAAUGGGGGAAACCCUGAUGCAGCGACGCCGCGUGAGCGAAGAAGGCUUUCGAGUCGUAAAGCUCUGUCCUAUGAGAAGAUAAUGACGGUAUCAUAGGAGGAAGCUCUGGCUAAUUACGUGCCAGCAGCCGCGGUAAUACGUAUGGGGCGAGCGUUGUCCGGAAUUAUUGGGCGUAAAGGGUACGUAGGCGGUUUUUUAAGUCAGGUGUCAAAGCGUGGAGCUUAACUCCAUUAAGCACUUGAAACUGAAAGACUUGAGUGAAGGAGAGGAAAGUGGAAUUCCUAGUGUAGCGGUGAAAUGCGUAGAUAUUAGGAGGAAUACCGGUGGCGAACACGACUUUCUGGUCAUUUACUGACGCUCAGAUACGAAAGCGUGGGGAGCAAACAGG